AACCUUGUGCAGUGGCAAUAUCGCAAGCAAUGAAGUCCUAACUGAGCUGCGAUUAUUGCUAGUUGAAAACUUUAACCAAUAACUCGCCUAGUGUUAGGAUCUCUGAUCUUAUACGCUGAGGCAAUUUUUCUAAAGUCCGAAAGGAC
Small nuclear RNA from Drosophila kikkawai, 146 nucleotides. RefSeq annotates it as U4 spliceosomal RNA. Lineage: Eukaryota; Metazoa; Arthropoda; Insecta; Diptera; Drosophilidae. The record is from RefSeq and is a predicted model, not a curated record.